Molecule: ribosomal RNA, 136 nt
Filed under: Propithecus coquereli (Coquerel's sifaka)
Lineage: Eukaryota; Metazoa; Chordata; Mammalia; Primates; Indriidae
Source: RNAcentral
GUCUAUGGCCUAAUACCACCCUGAACGUGUCAGAUCUUGUCUGAUCUCGGAAGCUAAGCAGGGUCGGGCCUGGUUAGUACUUGGACGGGAGAUGUGAUAAUUCUUAAAGUUUAAGGAAAGCAAGCCCUUACUGAUC